Molecule: ribosomal RNA, 316 nt
Filed under: uncultured bacterium
Lineage: Bacteria
Description: bacterial SSU rRNA
Rfam family: Bacterial small subunit ribosomal RNA
Source: RNAcentral
CGUGUCGUGAGAUGUUGGGUUAAGUCCCGCAACGAGCGCAACCCUUGUCAUUAGUUGGUAGGAAAGGGCACUCUAAUGAGACUGCCGGUGACAAACCGGAGGAAGGUGGGGAUGACGUCAGGUCCUCAUGGCCCUUAUGGGUAGGGCUACACACGUCAUACAAUGGCCGGUACAGAGGGCUGCCAACCCGCGAGGGGGAGCCAAUCCCAGAAAACCGGUCGUAGUCCGGAUCGCAGUCUGCAACUCGACUGCAGUGAAGUCGGAAUCGCUAGUAAUCGCGGAUCAGCUUGCCGCGGUGAAUACGUUCCCGGGUCUU